This 22-nucleotide non-coding RNA is filed under the name Arabidopsis thaliana (thale cress). Lineage: Eukaryota; Viridiplantae; Streptophyta; Magnoliopsida; Brassicales; Brassicaceae. The record is from RNAcentral.
CUCAGCCAUAACUAACUAACUA